This 218-nucleotide ribosomal RNA is filed under the name uncultured bacterium. Its description in RNAcentral is "partial 16S ribosomal RNA". It matches the Rfam family "Bacterial small subunit ribosomal RNA", at positions 524 to 740 of the family's 1533-position model. The record is from RNAcentral.
UACGUAGGGUGCAAGCGUUAAUCGGAAUUACUGGGCGUAAAGCGUGCGCAGGCGGUUUUGUAAGUCUGUCGUGAAAUCCCCGGGCUCAACCUGGGAAUUGCGAUGGAGACUGCAAGGCUAGAAUCUGGCAGAGGGGGGUAGAAUUCCACGUGUGAGCAGUGAAAUGCGUAGAGAUGUGGAGGAACACCGAUGGCGAAGGCAGCCCCCUGGGUCAAGGA